AUUCAGAGUAAACAGGCAUUUGAGAGUGAGAAGAAAGAGGGUAAAUAGAACAUUGAUGGGGAGAAAGAAGUUGGCCUUCUGUAUUUGUUCAAAAAAAGAAGAAAUACUUGGUACAUUGGAAAGGUCUUAUCUACCCAUGCCAAGGCCCUGACUAACUUUCUCCAUUCUGAGCAUGCAACCAAUAAAAAAGCAGAAGUCUCUAGCUUUAGAGAGAUGUAGAAUGUAAAGGUUUCUAAUGUAUCCCAGGAGACACUCCCGGAAAGAGCACCCUUGAAUCUGGUCAAUGUAAAGAAAUCUGUUCAGCUGGUAUUCCAUGGCAGUUCUCAGUGACAUCAUCAGUAGGUCCUGCCUGAAAAAGCUCUUGUAUCCUGGAGAGCCCUAACUUCUUUUCUGACAUCACAAGUGUCUUCUUGACAGCAACUGAAUCUCGGAUAUUCCCUCUGUUUAUCUAUGUUUUACUAAUUGGCCUCUAAUUCAGAGUAAACAGCCAUUUGGGAUGGAGAACAAAUAGGUUGAAGAGAUCAGAGAUGGGGAGAAGGAAGCUGGCCUUCUGCUUGGUAUAAAGUAAAAGAAGAAAUAUGUGGUUCUUGGGAAAACACCCUGGGAAGAUGGCUUUAAUUCUUUUGUUCUCUAGGUUCAACGAGCUCUUGGAGAAGUUGUUGACCAUCCUAAAGACCUUUGGGCAGAUGGAAAAGUUUUUAAAUACCACUUUUUAGAUUUCGAUUGUCCUGGGGAUUGUAUGGCAGAUGGUAAAUGUUUCCCAGGAAGAGUGCUAGAGACAGAUUGAUUUUUGGACACUUUAGAUAACAUGGGAUUUUUCUGAUAUAUUGGGCUAAUGGCAGAAGGUCUAAAUGAUUUUUUUUGAUGUGGACUUUCCUUCAGACCUUUGGAAACAUAAAAAAUGUUUUGUAUUUUUGAAGUCAAAUUUUCACAAUGACAAAUCAUUUUGAGCAUUGAGAACACUUUCUGGAGCCCUUGAAAGGGGUGAAGAAAUUCCCUGAAACUCUGGGGCAGAUGGUGCACGUGCCUUUUGGGUAGAAGGAGGAGUUACUUGAGCAUCUUUGGGCGACAUGGGAUGUCCAGCAUUCCCUUGUAAGGAUUGGCAACUUUUCACAAUUCCUUCGUCAUUUUUGGAAAAUUCCAAGGCCCUUUCGACAGAUGGAGAAGGUGUGGGACUCAGAUUUGUGUAAAUGAACACAGGCACCUGGGAGACCAGAAGAUUGAUAUCCCCUGGAGCUGCUUUUUCAGCUGGUUGCAAGUGGCUUCAUGGAUGUUGGAAACUGAACGUGUAUGCUCUUAAGAACAGUAAGUGCUCUUAACCAC
Molecule: non-coding RNA, 1323 nt
Organism: Rattus norvegicus (Norway rat)
Lineage: Eukaryota; Metazoa; Chordata; Mammalia; Rodentia; Muridae
Source: RefSeq, a predicted model, not a curated record